RNAcentral lists this non-coding RNA (148 nucleotides) under Gorilla gorilla gorilla (western lowland gorilla). The record is from Rfam by way of RNAcentral. Lineage: Eukaryota; Metazoa; Chordata; Mammalia; Primates; Hominidae.
GCCAGGCAUGGCGGCGCAUGCCUGUAAUCCCAGCUACUUGGGAGGCUGAGGCACAAGAAUCACUUGAACCCAGGAGGCAGAGGUUGCAGUGAGCUGAGAUUGUGCCACUGCACUCCAGCCUGGGCAACAGAGUGAGACUCUGUCUCAA